Molecule: transfer RNA, 73 nt
Filed under: Parcubacteria group bacterium CG10_big_fil_rev_8_21_14_0_10_38_31
Lineage: Bacteria
Description: tRNA-Ile
Rfam family: tRNA
About the family: Transfer RNA (tRNA) molecules are approximately 80 nucleotides in length.
Source: RNAcentral
GUGCCUGUAGCUCAGUUGGUAGAGCGUUCGGCUUAUACCCGAAUGGUCCCAGGUUCGAGUCCUGGCAGGCACA